ACACAUGCAGUCGACGCGCAGCAUUCUGUAGCAAUACAGGGUGUGGGCGCGUGGCGAACGGGUGCGUAACACGUGGAUAACCUUCCUUCAGGUGGGGAAUAACCCAGUGAAAAUUGGGCUAAUACCGCAUAACAUGACGAUGGCACAUGCUGUUGUCUUCAAAGGCGCAAGUCGCCAGAAGAGGGAUCCGCGGCCGAUUAGCUUGUUGGCGAGGUAAUGGCUCACCAAGGCAUUGAUCGGUAGCCGGACUGAGAGGUUGACCGGCCACACUGGAACUGAGACACGGUCCAGACUCCUACGGGAGGCAGCAGUGGGGAAUCUUGCACAAUGGACGAAAGUCUGAUGCAGCAACGCCGCGUGGGGGAUGAAGCUUCUCGGAGUGUAAACCCCUUUCGACCCGGAAGAAUGCCCGCAAGGGUUUGACGGUACGGGUAUAAGAAGCCCCGGCUAACUACGUGCCAGCAGCCGCGGUAAUACGUAGGGGGCCAGCGUUGCUCGGAAUUACUGGGCGUAAAGGGUCCGUACGCGGUGCGGCAAGUC
This 540-nucleotide ribosomal RNA is filed under the name uncultured Acidobacteriaceae bacterium. RNAcentral's name for it is "bacterial SSU rRNA". It matches the Rfam family "Bacterial small subunit ribosomal RNA", at positions 51 to 589 of the family's 1533-position model. The record is from RNAcentral. Lineage: Bacteria; Pseudomonadati; Acidobacteriota; Terriglobia; Terriglobales; Acidobacteriaceae.